UAAUCCUUCGUCACCGCUUUCAUUCUUCUUUGCAAUCUUAUACCCUACCCUCUCACCGCAUCACCGUAAUCCUUGCAGAGUUUCUUUUGGAUCAAAGUAUGGAAGACGAUGAUUGUGGUGUUUAGGGUUAGAGAAACGACGACGUGAGCAAUGGUCGGAGACGAAGAGGAUUCGUCUAUCUUAAUCAUUGAUUAUCUUUCUUCGUCAUUCGAUUGUCGUGAAGAAGGAAUCAUGUAACUUAGCAGGUUUUCUAAUCGGGAUUUGAGAGUAAUUAUGGUUUUCUAAAACCUGCGGCUUCUUCUCUUUCCCUUAAUCAGAAACCCUAAAUCAACCGAUGUCGCCCCCACCACAAUCAUUUGGUUCUUAAUCACCUCCAAAGCUAUUCAGAAAUGAAGAAGAAUGGAUGUUGUGGACUAUUAGGUCUAAAUCCGGAACAAUUAGGUUAUUUCAGAGACCAUUUGGACUAAUAUAGGGGUUAUAUCCAAGUCUUAGCUUCAGCUUGUGUC
Molecule: long non-coding RNA, 506 nt
Organism: Helianthus annuus (common sunflower)
Lineage: Eukaryota; Viridiplantae; Streptophyta; Magnoliopsida; Asterales; Asteraceae
Exons: 4
Source: RefSeq, a predicted model, not a curated record